GGGAACCGGCCGCGCUCUGUACGGGCCGGCUGUGGGCCUACGCCUGGGGUUGGGUUGAGGGGUGGAACCUACGCCGCUUUCCCUUCACAUAUUGCCCUCUCGGAGCUUGGCGGUGCUCCAGGGAGUCAACACAGGGGGAUAGAGCAGCUCUCCCUCACUAAAACCCAGUGCGGAGCCUUUCCCUCCGCCCUGCAUCCUGUCGUGAGGCACAAAUGUCCCCUCCCUCCAUUCUCCCCCCGCACGGUCUCUUCUCUGCCCGGCUGAUGCCUCUUUCCUUCCGCAGUGUGUCCCGAGGUUCCGAGCCCUUCAGAUGCUGCCGAUGGGCAAGAGGCCGAGCGCGGCAGGCCCGGGCAGGGGGCAGCGCCGGCGGUCUGCGCUCACGGCUUUGGGCGGCUACGGGUGAGGGGCGCCCCGAGCCCGAAACUCACAGCCUGGGGCUGAGGCCUCAUGUAGCAACCUCAUGCUUGAAAUGUUUUAGACAUGGGUAAUCACACCUAAACGUAAAGCAAUGCUCAGGACUUCUUAGGAAUAAAUAAUGCCUUCUCCUGGAAGGGAUGAAAACAGCAUCUGCCAGGAGCUGACACUGAACAUCAGUUUAUGAUUUCCUGAGCAGGUGAUUUCUGACUUCAUACGGGAUGAUCCCAGUUGUCACCUCUUAAGUGUGGUCUUGGAAAUAGAAGUGAGACAAGCGAUGGCUAAAAUUAUGUCUUCGAUGAUUAUGUUGAAACAGGCAUCUCACCCAUUUGUUAAAACAUGUUUCCUUACAGAAACUGCUGUAAUUUGACUGUGGAUUAAUUGACAUAAAUUAUGAGUAAAAUAAUUUUUUUUCAAAGAAUUGAAAUAAAAUGAGUAUGCUACCAAAA
Molecule: long non-coding RNA, 863 nt
Organism: Catharus ustulatus (Swainson's thrush)
Lineage: Eukaryota; Metazoa; Chordata; Aves; Passeriformes; Turdidae
Exons: 3
Source: RefSeq, a predicted model, not a curated record